RNAcentral lists this ribosomal RNA (250 nucleotides) under uncultured prokaryote. RNAcentral's name for it is "partial 16S ribosomal RNA". It matches the Rfam family "Bacterial small subunit ribosomal RNA", at positions 524 to 773 of the family's 1533-position model. The record is from RNAcentral.
UACGUAGGGAGCAAGCGUUAUCCGGAAUUACUGGGCGUAAAGGGUGCGUAGGCGGGUUUGCAAGUCAGACGUGAAAUACCGGGGCUCAACUCCGGGGCUGCGUUUGAAACUGCAAAUCUUGAGUGAAGUAGAGGUAGGCGGAAUUCCUAGUGUAGCGGUGAAAUGCGUAGAUAUUAGGAGGAACACCAGUGGCGAAGGCGGCCUACUGGGCUUUAACUGACGCUGAGGCACGAAAGCGUGGGGAGCAAAC